GUGAGACGGAGUGAGACAGGGACAAGAGGGUGAGACGGAGUGAGACAGGGACAAGAAGGUGAGACAGGGACAAGAAGGUGAGACGGAGUGAGCCGGGGACAAGAAGGUGAGACAGGGACAAGAAGGUGAGACGGAGUGAGACGGGGACAAGAAGGUGAGACGAGUGAGACAGGGACAAGAAGGUGAGACGGAGUGAGACGGGGACAAGAAGGUGAGACGAGUGAGACAGGGACAAGAAGGUGAGACGGAGUGAGACAGGGACAAGAAGGUGAGACGGAGUGAGACAGGGACAAGAAGGUGAGACGGAGUGAGACAAUAAGGUGAGACAGGGACAAGAAGGUGAGACGGAGUGAGACGGAGUGAGACAGGGACAAGAAGGUGAGACGGAGUGAGACAGGGACAAGAGGGUGAGACGGAGUGAGACAGGGACAAGAAGGUGAGACAGGGACAAGAAGGUGAGACGGAGUGAGACAGGGACAAGAGGGUGAGACGGAGUGAGACAGGGACAAGAAGGUGAGACGGAGUGAGACAGGGACAAGAGGGUGAGACAGGGACAAGAAGGUGAGACGGAGUGAGACAGGGACAAGAAGGUGAGACAGGGACAAGAAGGUGAGACGGAGUGAGACGGGGACAAGAAGGUGAGACGAGUGAGACAGGGACAAGAAGGUGAGACUGAGUGAGACAGGGACAAGAAGGUGAGACGGAGUGAGACAGGGACAAGAAGGUGAGACAGGGAGUCAUCUUAGCCUAAUUUUAGCCCUAUUUUAGCCUAUUUUACUAUACUACUGUUUGCACCAUGGAAUCAGUGUUGUCUGAUUGUGGGGAUGAUGACUGUGUGUGUGUGUGUGCGUGUGCGUGUGUGUGUG
This is a long non-coding RNA of Trematomus bernacchii (emerald rockcod), 866 nucleotides long. RefSeq lists it as uncharacterized. Lineage: Eukaryota; Metazoa; Chordata; Actinopteri; Perciformes; Nototheniidae. The transcript is spliced from 3 exons. The record is from RefSeq and is a predicted model, not a curated record.